RNAcentral lists this ribosomal RNA (497 nucleotides) under uncultured bacterium. RNAcentral describes it as "partial 16S ribosomal RNA". It matches the Rfam family "Bacterial small subunit ribosomal RNA", at positions 28 to 507 of the family's 1533-position model. The record is from RNAcentral.
GACGAACGCUGGCGGCGUGCCUAAUACAUGCAAGUCGAACGCUGAAGAGAGGAGCUUGCUCUUCUUGGAUGAGUUGCGAACGGGUGAGUAACGCGUAGGUAACCUGCCUUGUAGCGGGGGAUAACUAUUGGAAACGAUAGCUAAUACCGCAUAACAAUGCAUGACACAUGUCAUUUAUUUGAAAUGCGCAAAUGCUCACCUACAAGAUGGACCUGCGGUGUGUUAGCUAGUAGGUGAGGUAACGGCUCACCUAGGCGACGAUACAGAGCCGACCUGAGAGGAGGAGCGGCCAAACUGGGACGGAGACACGGCCCAGACUACUACGGGAGGCAGCAGUAGGGAAUCUUCGGCAAUGGGGGCAACCCUGACCGAGCAACGCCGCGGGAGUGAAGAAGGUUUUCGGAUCGUAAAGCGCUGUUGUAAGUCAAGAACGAGUGUGAGAGUGGAAAGUUCACACUGUGACGGUAGCUGACCAGAAAGGGACGGCUAACUACGUG